UAGGGAAUCUUCCGCAAUGGACGCAAGUCUGACGGAGCAACGCCGCGUGAGUGAAGAAGGAUUUCGGUUCGUAAAACUCUGUUGUUAGAGAAGAACAGCGCAUAGAGUAACUGUUAUGCGUGUGACGGUAUCUAACCAGAAAGCCACGGCUAACUACGUGCCAGCAGCCGCGGUAAUACGUAGGUGGCAAGCGUUGUCCGGAUUUAUUGGGCGUAAAGCGAGCGCAGGCGGUCAAUUAAGUCUGAUGUGAAAGCCCCCGGCUCAACCGGGGAGGGUCAUUGGAAACUGGUUGACUUGAGUGCAGAAGAGGAGAGUGGAAUUCCAUGUGUAGCGGUGAAAUGCGUAGAUAUAUGGAGGAACACCAGUGGCGAAGGCGACUCUAUGGUCUGUAACUGACGCUGAGGCUCGAAAGCGUGGGUAGCGAACAGG
Molecule: ribosomal RNA, 429 nt
Filed under: Bacteroidota bacterium
Lineage: Bacteria; Pseudomonadati; Bacteroidota
Description: Bacteroidetes bacterium partial 16S ribosomal RNA
Rfam family: Bacterial small subunit ribosomal RNA
Source: RNAcentral